Molecule: transfer RNA, 71 nt
Filed under: Loxodonta africana (African savanna elephant)
Lineage: Eukaryota; Metazoa; Chordata; Mammalia; Proboscidea; Elephantidae
Rfam family: tRNA
About the family: Transfer RNA (tRNA) molecules are approximately 80 nucleotides in length. Their secondary structure includes four short double-helical elements and three loops (D, anti-codon, and T loops). Further hydrogen bonds mediate the characteristic L-shaped molecular structure. tRNAs have two regions of fundamental functional importance: the anti-codon, which is responsible for specific mRNA codon recognition, and the 3' end, to which the tRNAs corresponding amino acid is attached (by aminoacyl-tRNA synthetases). tRNAs cope with the degeneracy of the genetic code in two manners: having more than one tRNA (with a specific anti-codon) for a particular amino acid; and 'wobble' base-pairing, i.e. permitting non-standard base-pairing at the 3rd anti-codon position.
Source: Rfam by way of RNAcentral
GCAGUGGUGGUUCCAAGGUAGAAUUCUCACCUUCCACGUGGGAGACAUGGGUUCGAUUCCCAACCAAUGCC